This 842-nucleotide long non-coding RNA is filed under the name Chinchilla lanigera (long-tailed chinchilla). RNAcentral's name for it is "lncRNA (ENSCLAG00000023952.1)". Lineage: Eukaryota; Metazoa; Chordata; Mammalia; Rodentia; Chinchillidae. The record is from RNAcentral.
GCUGACACUAGGUAGCCCGGCCACCUGGGCGGUCCCCUGGGAGCCGCGGGAGCCCCGCAGGUCGUCUGCACAACCACGGCCAAGUUGGGAGGCUGAGUCGACUCCCAAGCUGGGAAGAGCAGGCGAGAGGACUUGGUUUGGGCAAAGGACACGCACACGUGCACACGCACACACGCACACACGCACAUGCACACGCGCACACACCCUGAGCCUUUCCUGGGGAACCACCCAGGAGCUGCUGACUCCUCACAGGGAAGAUCGGGCGGGGCGGCCGGAAGGGAGCAGGACGGGCGCUGCGCCGUCCCCGGGGACCGCCGCCUCCUGCGCCCUGCGCUUGCAUCAGCGCCUCCCGGCCGAGGCCUGGCCACCGGCGACGUCAGCCGCUUUCCCAGAAGAAUUCCACUUCCUGCGGCCGGCCGGCUGUGUGUGGGCGGGGGGUUUUGGUUUCGCAGGAUGACACCACCUCUUUGCUGCAGCUCCGCAUUCGCACAGUCUGUUGUCAUGGAGACCACAGCAUCCUGGCAGCCUCGGCGAGGCCAGCCGGUCCCGGGAAGUGACUCCGGCCUUGUCCCACGCAGGAAACCACUGGCUGCACUGGGCGCUGUGGCCCCGGCUUCUGGGUUCUGCCCUGUGGGCCACUUUCCGCAUCGCUCCUGUACCAAGAUUUUAAAGCUCUCUUACCCCAGGGUCUUAGAACCGACUCUGGGAAUAUCAAUCUCUGGACCCAGAGAAGAGGCCCGAGGCAGCUCACUGGGGGCAGAAUGCUCAAGAGGAAUAAUCAGAAUUGGCCAUUUUAGAUCCUGUUUACAGAGAACUCCCAGCAUCUUUGUAGAGAAGACCCA